Molecule: ribosomal RNA, 1073 nt
Filed under: Arthrobacter sedimenti
Lineage: Bacteria; Bacillati; Actinomycetota; Actinomycetes; Micrococcales; Micrococcaceae
Description: bacterial SSU rRNA
Rfam family: Bacterial small subunit ribosomal RNA
Source: RNAcentral
ACCAAGGCGACGACGGGUAGCCGGCCUGAGAGGGUGACCGGCCACACUGGGACUGAGACACGGCCCAGACUCCUACGGGAGGCAGCAGUGGGGAAUAUUGCACAAUGGGCGCAAGCCUGAUGCAGCGACGCCGCGUGAGGGAUGACGGCCUUCGGGUUGUAAACCUCUUUCAGUAGGGAAGAAGCCGCAAGGUGACGGUACCUGCAGAAGAAGCGCCGGCUAACUACGUGCCAGCAGCCGCGGUAAUACGUAGGGCGCAAGCGUUAUCCGGAAUUAUUGGGCGUAAAGAGCUCGUAGGCGGUUUGUCGCGUCUGCCGUGAAAGUCCGGGGCUCAACUCCGGAUCUGCGGUGGGUACGGGCAGACUAGAGUGAUGUAGGGGAGACUGGAAUUCCUGGUGUAGCGGUGAAAUGCGCAGAUAUCAGGAGGAACACCGAUGGCGAAGGCAGGUCUCUGGGCAUUAACUGACGCUGAGGAGCGAAAGCAUGGGGAGCGAACAGGAUUAGAUACCCUGGUAGUCCAUGCCGUAAACGUUGGGCACUAGGUGUGGGGGACAUUCCACGUUUUCCGCGCCGUAGCUAACGCAUUAAGUGCCCCGCCUGGGGAGUACGGCCGCAAGGCUAAAACUCAAAGGAAUUGACGGGGGCCCGCACAAGCGGCGGAGCAUGCGGAUUAAUUCGAUGCAACGCGAAGAACCUUACCAAGGCUUGACAUGAACCAGACCGGGCUGGAAACAGUUCUUCCCCUUUGGGGUUGGUUUACAGGUGGUGCAUGGUUGUCGUCAGCUCGUGUCGUGAGAUGUUGGGUUAAGUCCCGCAACGAGCGCAACCCUCGUUCCAUGUUGCCAGCGGGUAGUGCCGGGGACUCAUGGGAGACUGCCGGGGUCAACUCGGAGGAAGGUGGGGACGACGUCAAAUCAUCAUGCCCCUUAUGUCUUGGGCUUCACGCAUGCUACAAUGGCCGGUACAAAGGGUUGCGAUACUGUGAGGUGGAGCUAAUCCCAAAAAGCCCGGUCUCAGUUCGGAUUGGGGUCUGCAACUCGACCCCAUGAAGUCGGAGUCGCUAGUAAUCGCAG